Molecule: long non-coding RNA, 100 nt
Organism: Sapajus apella (tufted capuchin)
Lineage: Eukaryota; Metazoa; Chordata; Mammalia; Primates; Cebidae
Exons: 2
Source: RefSeq, a predicted model, not a curated record
CAACAGUCUCCAAAGUCUUAACUCAUUUCAGCUUUAACUCAAAAGUCCAAAGUCACACCUGAGACAAGGCAAGUCCCUUCCACCUAUGAGCCUGUAAAAU